GACAGUGUGGUGUAGUGGUUUGACUGUUGGACUUAGACUCUGGAGAACAGGAUUCAAAUCCCUGUUCAGCCA
This is a non-coding RNA of Phrynosoma platyrhinos (Desert horned lizard), 72 nucleotides long. The record is from the annotation of a GenBank genome assembly. Lineage: Eukaryota; Metazoa; Chordata; Lepidosauria; Squamata; Phrynosomatidae.